UUGGUUUGAGUGCCUGAGCAAAGCCACUGGGGAUGUUCCCCAAGGACUCUAUGAGUGCUCAGCUCAUGGGGCUAUCAUGGUCA
Chlorocebus sabaeus (green monkey) is the source of this 83-nucleotide microRNA precursor. The record is from Ensembl. Lineage: Eukaryota; Metazoa; Chordata; Mammalia; Primates; Cercopithecidae.